This 500-nucleotide ribosomal RNA is filed under the name Dictyoptera elegans. RNAcentral's name for it is "partial large subunit ribosomal RNA". The record is from RNAcentral. Lineage: Eukaryota; Metazoa; Arthropoda; Insecta; Coleoptera; Lycidae.
CAUGGUUUUUUGGAUUAUAAUUUAAAAUUUAAUCUGCUCAAUGAUUAUUUAAAUUGCCGCAGUAUUUUAACUGUGCAAAGGUAGCAUAAUAAUUAGUUUCUUGAUUAGAAGCUGGAAUGAAUGAUUGGACGAUAAAAUAACUGUCUCUAUUUAAUUUUUUAAUGAAUUUUAUUUUUAAGUUAAAAAGCUUAAAUUUUAUUAAAAGACGAGAAGACCCUAUAGAGUUUGAUAAUAAAAAUAUUAAUUAUUUUAGAAUUAAAUUAUUAUAAUAUUAUUUAGUUGGGGUGACUUAAAAAUUAAAAAAAUUUUUUGAAGUUUAAAUUUUUAAUAAGAAAGUUUAUAAUCUAUAUUUUUAAAAUUAAAAUAAAUUACCUUAGGGAUAACAGCGUAAUUUUUCUUUAAAGUUCAUAUUAAAAGGAAAGUUUGCGACCUCGAUGUUGGAUUAAAAUUAAUUUUAGGUGCAGUAACUUAAAAAUUAAGUCUGUUCGACUUUUUAAAUU